RNAcentral lists this non-coding RNA (24 nucleotides) under Rattus norvegicus (Norway rat). Lineage: Eukaryota; Metazoa; Chordata; Mammalia; Rodentia; Muridae. The record is from RNAcentral.
UAUGCCUUGUGGACUAUUCUCAGU